GACGUAGGGCGCGAGCGUUGUCCGGAUUUAUUGGGCGUAAAGAGCUCGUAGGCGGCUUGUCGCGUCGACUGUGAAAUCCCGCGGCUCAACUGCGGGUCUGCAGUCGAUACGGGCAGGCUAGAGUUCGGUAGGGGAGACUGGAAUUUACGGUGUAGCGGUGAAAUGCGUAGAUAUCGUAAGGAAGACCAGUGGCGAAGGCGGGUCUCUGGACAGUUCCUGACGCUGAGGCACGAAGGCCAGGGGAGCAAACGGG
RNAcentral lists this ribosomal RNA (253 nucleotides) under uncultured bacterium. Its description in RNAcentral is "partial 16S ribosomal RNA". It matches the Rfam family "Bacterial small subunit ribosomal RNA", at positions 524 to 776 of the family's 1533-position model. The record is from RNAcentral.